This 416-nucleotide ribosomal RNA is filed under the name uncultured Alphaproteobacteria bacterium. RNAcentral describes it as "bacterial SSU rRNA". It matches the Rfam family "Bacterial small subunit ribosomal RNA", at positions 60 to 521 of the family's 1533-position model. The record is from RNAcentral. Lineage: Bacteria; Pseudomonadati; Pseudomonadota; Alphaproteobacteria.
AGUCGAGCGCGCCUUUCGGGGUGAGCGGCGGACGGGUUAGUAACGCGUGGGAACGUGCCCUUCUCUACGGAAUAGUCCCGGGAAACUGGGGGUAAUACCGUAUACGCCCUUUGGGGGAAAGAUUUAUCGGAGAAGGAUCGGCCCGCGUUAGAUUAGGUAGUUGGUGGGGUAAUGGCCUACCAAGCCUACGAUCUAUAGCUGGUUUUAGAGGAUGAUCAGCAACACUGGGACUGAGACACGGCCCAGACUCCUACGGGAGGCAGCAGUGGGGAAUCUUGGACAAUGGGGGCAACCCUGAUCCAGCCAUGCCGCGUGAGUGAAGAAGGCCCUAGGGUCGUAAAGCUCUUUCGCCUGUGAAGAUAAUGACGGUAGCAGGUAAAGAAACCCCGGCUAACUCCGUGCCAGCAGCCCGCGGG